UACGUAGGGUGCGAGCGUGUCCGGAAUUAUUGGGCGUAAAGAGCUCGUAGGCGGUUUGUCGCGUCUGGUGUGAAAAUCCAGGGCUUAACCCUGGACCUGCAUCGGGUACGGGCAGACUAGAGUGCGGUAGGGGAGAUCGGAAUUCCUGGUGUAGCGGUGAAAUGCGCAGAUAUCAGGAGGAACACCGGUGGCGAAGGCGGAUCUCUGGGCCGUAACUGACGCUGAGGAGCGAAGCAUGGG
Molecule: ribosomal RNA, 240 nt
Filed under: uncultured bacterium
Lineage: Bacteria
Description: partial 16S ribosomal RNA
Rfam family: Bacterial small subunit ribosomal RNA
Source: RNAcentral